RNAcentral lists this ribosomal RNA (253 nucleotides) under uncultured bacterium. Its description in RNAcentral is "partial 16S ribosomal RNA". It matches the Rfam family "Bacterial small subunit ribosomal RNA", at positions 524 to 776 of the family's 1533-position model. The record is from RNAcentral.
UACGUAGGGGGCUAGCGUUGUCCGGAAUCAUUGGGCGUAAAGCGCGUGUAGGCGGUCCGGUAAGUCCGCUGUGAAAGUCGGGGGCUCAACCCUCGGAUGCCGGUGGAUACUGUCGGGCUUGAGUACGGAAGAGGCGAAUGGAAUUCCUGGUGUAGCGGUGAAAUGCGCAGAUAUCAGGAGGAACACCAAUUGCGAAGGCAGCUCGCUGGGACGUUACUGACGCUGAGACGCGAAAGCGUGGGGAGCAAACAGG